UACGUAGGGUGCGAGCGUUGUCCGGAAUCAUUGGGCGUAAAGGGCGCGCAGGUGGCUCUGUAUGUCUGCCGUGAAAGCAUACAGCUCAACUGUAUUGUGUCGGUAGAAACUGCAGGACUGAGGCUGGGAGGGGCUGGUGGAAUUCCCUGUGUAGCGGUGAAAUGCGUAGAGAUGGAGGAGAACACUCGUGGCGAAGGCGGCCAGCUAGACCAGUUCUGACACUGAGGCGCGACAGCGUGGGGAGCAAACAGG
RNAcentral lists this ribosomal RNA (252 nucleotides) under uncultured bacterium. Its description in RNAcentral is "partial 16S ribosomal RNA". It matches the Rfam family "Bacterial small subunit ribosomal RNA", at positions 524 to 776 of the family's 1533-position model. The record is from RNAcentral.